Salvia splendens (bonfire salvia) is the source of this 680-nucleotide long non-coding RNA. RefSeq lists it as uncharacterized. The record is from RefSeq and is a predicted model, not a curated record. The transcript has 3 exons. Lineage: Eukaryota; Viridiplantae; Streptophyta; Magnoliopsida; Lamiales; Lamiaceae.
AUAUUUCAUUGAUGCUUCCGAAGAGGUGAUCGUCCUUGCAAUUGAUCUUUCAUCAAAGAAGAAUAAACAAGAAAUAGAAUUUCACUUGCUAAACUCAAUAGGCCAUCAAAGCUAAAAUUCCCACGUGAAUUGUUGACUGUUGAACAUAUCUUCAUAAAGCUUGAAGUCCUUGCUAAGGAUAGUGUAACGGUCGCUGGAAAAACAAGAAGAAGAUGACUCUGCUUGGAAGCUGGAACCUUGGAACCUUAGUUCGGCUUCUACAUUCUUCUUGGAAUCCUAUUCAUUCGACCAUUUUAUUGCAAAGCACUUGCAUGUGCUGUAGUCUAUGCAGACAAAAAACAUUUUACCUGAAAAUAUUAGUACUCUUUCUCAUCUAGAAACAGUUAGUUUGACAGAACCCCAUCCCAAAUUCCAUAGAUGAAUAACUUUGGACCCUUAACACUUAGUUGUUCUGUAUUAAAUCCAACCAUCAUGACUCGGGCUUCAUAUAGGCCAACACAUGACCACCCAUUAGAAAAAUUUAGUGGUCCUUUCUAGAAAAGUGAACUCAACUCCGCUACAACCCAGAACACCAACUAAACACCGAACUGCUUCGUUGACCAAAUUUCACCGGACCACUUUGUUGAUCAACUUUCACCGGACUACUUUGUUGAUCUACUUUCACGUGACUACUGUGCAGA